RNAcentral lists this ribosomal RNA (253 nucleotides) under uncultured bacterium. RNAcentral's name for it is "partial 16S ribosomal RNA". It matches the Rfam family "Bacterial small subunit ribosomal RNA", at positions 524 to 776 of the family's 1533-position model. The record is from RNAcentral.
GACAGAGGUCCCGAGCGUUAGGCGGAAUCACUGGGCUUAAAGCGUGUGUAGGCGGACUUGUAAGUACCUUGUGAAAUCCCACGGCUCACCCGUGGAACUGCUUGGUAUACUGCGAGUCUUGAGCCACCUAGGGGCGAGCGGAACAGACGGUGGAGCGGUGAAAUGCGUAGAUAUCGUUUGGAACGCCAAUGGUGAAAACAGCUCGCUGGGAGUGUGCUGACGCUGAGACACGAAAGCCAGGGGAGCAAACGGG